CCGGCGCGCGCUGGGGGCUGUCGCCCGCCCGGCCCCCGCUGAGGGACGGCGGCGCCCAUCGCUGUGGCGGCGCGGCGGCUGGGAGGGGGGUGCGGGGAACAAAACGAACACGAGGGAGUAUUUGUCUUCCACGAUUCUGCUGAAAGUAGGUAAAACCCUGGAAAAUGACACGGGUCUGUUAAAAGUUCAGUGCUGUAUUAACAACAAAAGCCCAGUUGGAGAUUGGAAGCCAAACUGUGGAGAGAAAAAGAUGCUGGAUCCAUGAGGUUCUAACUGUCCUCAAAUGAGCCGAGGCAUCUGUGGGGACUGUGAGCACCUACUUGCCCGGUUCAGGCUAAACUGUGCCUCCAGCAAGAUACAUUGGGACUGUAGGCAAGAAGCGAGCAGCGCUUAACCAUGAGACUGGAAAUGGUAUCAUCAGUUUUGCAACUAUUCACUCCUGGUGGUUGGAAUUGCUUGGACCCACACCAGAAACUGCUGAAAAAAGGGAAGAAUGAUCAAAUCAGUCCCCACGCAACAAAAUUUUCUUUUAAUUCUCAUUUCAGUUGCCUUGACCAGUCAUACUGCACACCCACUGUGAGACUCAGCUGCUUUUAAAAAAAAAAAAACAAACCACACACACACGCACACAAACAACAAACAACCCAAGAGAAUUCCAAAACCUACCACGUAAAAACAAAUCAUUCACUAAAAGUUUCAGAGAUAUGUUCCUGCUCUAAACUGUCACUAGGUUAGCCUUUGGAGCUAUAAUUUUAGACGAUUUAUAUGAUAGUUUUCAGAAAACUCUAGGUAUUAUUAUUACAAUUUUUGCUCUUUAAUUAUCAUAUUUAACUGUCAUUCAGCGAGGUUUUUAUGUAAAUGAUAUCCAUGGCAACUCUCCACCAGCAGAUGGCACGACUACAGACCAUGAUCAUGAUCUACAAGUACUGGAAUAGGCAGGAGAGCUCUGAAGCUACUGUUAUGCUUUUCCAUAUCCUUUUACAGCUUUUAUUUGGAUUUUCAUGGAGGCAAGGUUUCUAGUGGGAGGCUGAAUAUAAAGUCUGAUUACAUCCUUUCUAGGGCCAAUGUUAUCUAUAUCCUUUUUCCUCUCUGGAGGCUAUAUAGCCCUGUUGCUGAAAAAAUUGACCUGCGGACAAAAUUAAUAGCAAAUAUUACACAAAAUGGCUUUUGAUUUCUAGAAUAUAGAUUGACUUUUUGUGUAAAAUCCAGUGCUUGAAACAUGCAACGGGUAGCACAAGAGGAAUGAAGGCUUAGCCCAAGAGCAUGACCAGCACAAGCUCUGGUGGUGCCAGGAAGGGCGGCCUGCACAGCAAGGAGGGGGAUUCCUUGUUUGCAUCUCUGAGGUAGCUAGGGGCUCUGCACAAAAGUGAACUACAUUCUUUGCUCCCCACAUCUUCCAUUCAAAACAGAAAAAAGGAUGUUGUGGGGGGUAGCACCCUGUAUAGCCUACAGGCAGCAUGACUGAAGUAUGGGUGAAAACAGAAGUGAAAGAGUAUAUUCCAUGCCUAAUUCUCUGACUCUAUCACUGUAUAUCUUAAAACCUGCAAAAAUUAGCAGUGUAAGGUAUAAGCAAGAACUGAAGAUCUACAUUCUCUUCCUUGAGUAGGUCUCCUUCAGCCCUGUGCAGUCCAGGUCAUCACAUCUUCAUUGCUGGCAGCAGGAGCUGGGCCAGGUGACCUUCAGAGGUUCCUUCCAUUUUUCUGUGGUUACCUUCAUUAGCUUGGCAUGCAUUUGACAAAAGCUAGCAUAUAAUUACAAAGAAUUACAGAAAGUUCUCCUGAUGGACUGGCUGUUCUCCAGGCUACAACCAGACAUUAAUCUGACCCCAGGACAACCUAUAAAUCUGAAAGGACUAAAGAAAAAAAUAAAACAAGAAAAUAACUGAUUACAGGAGGCAACAAAUGGAAACAGGGUAAAAUCGUUGCAAGAGGAUACCAGGUAGAGCACCUCUGACUGUGCCUAUUAAUUCCUGAAGGAGACAGGGCAUUGGAUGUUAAUCCAACAUUUGGGCUGGUACAAUAAAGCCAGCGUGGCACCGGAAGAACCACCCUAUAGCACUGUAACUUCUGCUAACUACCAAGCCCUAGAAGCUGACAGCCCGUAGGUUAGUCACCAGCAGGAUAUAGGAAUUGGGUUUAUAGGAGAGCAUGAGCUGGGUUUACAUCAUCUAUCUUCCUCAAGCUUUUUAGAUAUUAGCUACCUGUUCGCUGCCUAAGUAUGUGCAAAGUGUAUACAGAUGUAUUUAUUAUCCCUGAACAGGCCAUACAGAGAGUUUGUAGUUUUUACUAGUUUACCUGAAGAUUAUUUUAUUGUAAAGACAUUCCAGGGCAUGGAAAGGUGCACUCCAAAAGAAAAGCAAAUAAAGUUUCCCCCUGCUCCAAAUUCAAGUACAGUUACCAGGCAAUAGCAAGGCAGGAUCCCUGAAAUGCAUUACCACUUCUUUUCACAGUGGAAAUUACUAGGUGUUCAAGUGAUUCAUAGAUUACAGUAAAACCAACAUAGAUACAUGCAAAAUUUCAAUAAUUUAAUACAAAAAUGUCAUCAUGAAUCCAUUCUCAGUACAAGUGAAUGCCAAGGCAAGACCUGAAUAUCCUCAAGGCAAGACCUGAAUAUCCUGAAUAAGCACCUUAAGAGCUGAAAUGGACUCUCCUGGUUAAUUAAUUGCUAUCUUUGUUUGAGGACAUGUGUGGCAAUUUGCGGAUAGAAAUGUUUAUACAAGAAAUGCCACAGGCUUGAUUGUUGCUGCCCACCUCUCUACCCACAAAAAACACCCAGGUUAUAAUCACCACCUUCAGACACUCGCUGUUGCACGCAAAAAUUCCAUUAAUUCAAGCGCAUUGCUUCCAAGACAUUUGUAUUUUCUAGUACUUGGGUUGUUUCAGGUUUUUUUGGUCAGAGAUUCCAUUCAAUAGCCAUCAUGAACGUGACAUUUUAUUCUGAAAAGGGUUGUAUUUGUUUGGAGUAUGUUUAUUCAUUGAACUGUUUAGUUUAAUAUGCUUGCUGUAAAUAAACUCAAUUAACCCUUACAGUAAAA
Tyto alba (common barn owl) is the source of this 3034-nucleotide long non-coding RNA. RefSeq lists it as uncharacterized. The transcript is spliced from 5 exons. NCBI's taxonomy places the organism in Eukaryota, Metazoa, Chordata, Aves, Strigiformes, Tytonidae. The record is from RefSeq and is a predicted model, not a curated record.